RNAcentral lists this ribosomal RNA (438 nucleotides) under uncultured bacterium. RNAcentral's name for it is "bacterial SSU rRNA". It matches the Rfam family "Bacterial small subunit ribosomal RNA", at positions 30 to 468 of the family's 1533-position model. The record is from RNAcentral.
AUUGAACGCUGGCGGCAUGCUUUACACAUGCAAGUCGAACGGUAACAGGUCUUCGGAUGCUGACGAGUGGCGAACGGGUGAGUAAUGUAUCGGAACGUGCCCAGUAGUGGGGGAUAACUACUCGAAAGAGUGGCUAAUACCGCAUGAGAACUGAGGUUGAAAGCGGGGGACCUUCGGGCCUCGCGCUACUGGAGCGGCCGAUAUCAGAUUAGGUAGUUGGUGGGGUAAAGGCCUACCAAGCCGACGAUCUGUAGCUGGUCUGAGAGGACGACCAGCCACACUGGGACUGAGACACGGCCCAGACUCCUACGGGAGGCAGCAGUGGGGAAUUUUGGACAAUGGACGCAAGUCUGAUCCAGCAAUGCCGCGUGCAGGACGAAGGCCUUCGGGUUGUAACUAGCUUUUGUACUAGAACGAAAAGGCUACUGGUUAAUACCU